UCGAGCCACUAGUUCUGCACACCCAGUUCUUGCCUGCCUGGCAGCCAAGAGGAAAGGGGAAUUACAGACAGGCUGGACUUGAAACACUGCUAUGGCCCCACCUGAGUUUCAGGUGCCCCAGGGAGUCCUUUCAACCACCUGGAAUCGAGGCUGUUUCAAGGAGUAGCUCCACUAAUCCUAAGGAGAAAUGGAAGAGCCAAAGUUGAAAGCACAUCAGGAGUAAAAGGUUCGAGCAGGGAUAAUUUCUGUAUUUAUUUGUGCUCUGAGUUUGCAAAAUGGCCACACUAUCAGAAGAGGAUGACACAUAGAUGGAGAAGGAGUUCUUGUGAAUUUUGUUUAUAGGCAGAGGAUGAGUUCGAGACAGAACUGACCUCAAAUCUCCCAGGAGAGACUCCUGUCAUAUCGACCCCAGACAUGCAUGCCAAGGGUGACCUGACUGUACCAUUCCCCUACACAGGGCUGUUCCUCUUCCAAAAAGACCAUACAACUCAGAGAACAGGCCAAUUUCUCAGCUCAGGAUCUUUUCUAUAUUCUAGAUCUUCUUUAUUUUUAAAAUUAAAAAGUGACAAGUCUCUUCUUGGCCACAGGAUGCUCUAUCUACAUUCAUGUUCGAAAGAAGAAACUACCUUCACCUCAUGGAACUGUAGGAUUUGCAGCAACUAUAGUCUAACAGUCUGUCGCAAGUGUAUUGGAUGUUUCAGUUUGCCAGACCUGUCAUGAGAAAUUAAUUACAGGAUGUUGCAGAAAUGGCAAAGCUCCAGCAGCAUCUUGCUUAGUUUAAUAUAGCCCCAUUUCCCCAUUUCAAUGUAUUUGUGGUUAGAUAAAUCCUCAGAAAUUUACAGCUGCUAUAGGCUAGUUUAUUAUGUACUCUGCCUGCACACAUGAUAAGUAUAAUAAGAAUUUGAUGUUCUUAAAGUACAUAGAUUUCACUGACAUUUCUUUACCACUAUGGAAAUAUUUAGUUGCUAAAAGUAGCAUCUGCAGAAACUUCUGAACAUUAACUUCUGUAAAACCGGCAGAGAUGGUUAAAAACAUCACAGUGCUUAGCCACCUUCCAUUUAUUUGAAACUGAAGAACUGUAUCUCCGUAAAAAGUUGUGUGGAGUGUUUCUAUAAAAUGGUCCCAUGAACAAAUAGAAAAAAAAAAUUAAUUAUUGAUUCUCAGUUGAAAACAUUGAACAACUGAAGCAACCACAUUUUUCUCCAAGGAACUUUCUUCCUUUGGUUUUGAGACUGCUUUUUCACAAGCUUCAGUUGUUCAUUUUUAACAUGGCAACAAUAUAUUUUCCUCACCUGCUUACUUUGUCCUCCUUUUGACUUUCUUUUUUCCUUAACUAUGAUUUUCCCCUCUCAAGUCAUCUCAUUUCAAGCAACUUUAAAGACUGGCAAUGUAGGUGUACUCAUAUAACUCUUGCAUUAAAAAAAAUUCCUGUAUUUUCCUCUACAAAAUUUUUUCACAAUUCUUCACAAAGAACCAAGUGAUGAUUUAAGAAAAAGUGAACUAUCAUGAGUAAAAAUCAAACUGUUUAGUACUUACAGAUAGAAACGACAUUGACGUAUAUUAAGUUGGACCAUUUUGUAAUAGAGGGAGAACAUGUGUUAUGCAUGGUUCUUAUAUAUGUACUUACUUCUGAACCCCCUUUAGAUUGUGAGUAGAGAGUAAAAUUGUAUAUUUUUAGCAGCUUUAUCCUCCCUGUUCUGAGACCAUCAAAAUAACUCAUCCAUAAUCAGCAUGAAUUUGAGGUGUUAGAAGAGCAACUUUCGAAAAGAGGGGGCUCACAACAUAUGCCUGAUGUAGAUUUGAAGAGGAUCAUUAGAAAAAAGCAUUCUUUGUGUUUACAAAACAGAUGUUUUUAUGUUAUCCAGUUCCCGCCUUAACUUAAAAGUAUUCCCUAUUCAUUUUAAUAACUAGAGCAGAAAGAUAUGAUGAAUGCAGUACCUCAUUACCAAGUUCGCUUUCUGGGUCUCUAAAGAGAGUAGCUGUCUACUUUUGCCUAGUAGGUCCAUUGUUAACCCUAAAUGAUGCUGACAUCCAAUUCUCCUGCAGAUAAUUGGGUCCAUCCAUAGACUGAGUUUGCCACUCAACAGAGCCUUUUGAUUGAUGUGACUCUUGAUGUUUUUAUUUUCUCUUAUGUGACU
Dama dama (fallow deer) is the source of this 2138-nucleotide long non-coding RNA. RefSeq lists it as uncharacterized. The record is from RefSeq and is a predicted model, not a curated record. The transcript has 3 exons. NCBI's taxonomy places the organism in Eukaryota, Metazoa, Chordata, Mammalia, Artiodactyla, Cervidae.